CUGCUCCCACCCCACCAACCAUCCCAUGCCAUGUCUCAAAAAAAACACUCAGCGCCCGAUCCAGAUCCCCAAUCCCGUCUCCGCUCCCACCUCCUCUCCUCAAUGCCCCGCCACAGGACGUGGAAGCGGUGCGUCCACUCCAGCCACCACGACAGCGCCACCGCCGCCGACUUCGCGCCCGUGCCCAGGAUGUGCCGCCUCGUCAUGGCGAACUACGCCCCACCUGACCUCCUCACCGCGGCGCCCCUCCUCCUCGACCCCUCAAACGUCGUGCGCCGCCGCACCUACGCCGACACGGGGGGUCGGGUCACACCCUACCUCGUCUACCUCGACCACGCGCACGCUCCUCGACAACCGCCUCGGCAAGCGCCGCUUCGACGGCGGCUACGUCCACAACGGCCUCCUCCGCGCGCGCCGGCUGGGUGCUCGACAGGGAGUGCGACCUGCUCCGGGACCUCCUCGACCGGUACCCCGCCUACACGCUCACCUUCACGGGCCACUCCCUUGGCGUCGGCAUCGCCCCCAUGCUCACCAUGGUCGUCGUGCUCAACCUCGACAAGCUCGGCAAGGCCGAGAGGGGCCGCACCAGGUGCUAUGCCAAGGCCCCCGCCCGCUGUAUGUCGCUCAACCUCGCCGUCAGAUACGCCGAUGUCAUCAACUCCGUCGUGCUGCAGAAAUCGUCGAUUCAUAAAUGUGAGAAGAAGAUGAUUGCAAGGAUGGAGAGGGAGCAAAUCAUUUGGAGGGAUAGAAUGCCACUGUUUGGUGUUUUUAUGCAUUUUUGUUUGCUUUCAACUGUGUUUGCACUAGCUGGGAAUAAGUGACUAGGCAAUAAGUGUAGAUGUAUGGAUAUGCUCUAAUGCUCCUGGUUUACUAUAAAUCUUCGAUUUGGAAUGAUGUGUAAUGCUGCUGGUUUAUUACAAACUUGGGCUUGUUUUAGUUGUUAGAAUUGUAUGCAUAAAAUGGAAUUGAUGGAUUUUAAAAUAUAAGCUAACCGCAUGUUCUACCG
This 1006-nucleotide ribosomal RNA is filed under the name Triticum aestivum (bread wheat). RNAcentral describes it as "partial small subunit ribosomal RNA". Lineage: Eukaryota; Viridiplantae; Streptophyta; Magnoliopsida; Poales; Poaceae. The record is from RNAcentral.